UCGGCCUGACCACCCACCCCAC
This 22-nucleotide microRNA is filed under the name Macaca mulatta (Rhesus monkey). RNAcentral describes it as "mml-miR-1234". The record is from miRBase by way of RNAcentral. RNAcentral also lists the same sequence under 2 other names. Lineage: Eukaryota; Metazoa; Chordata; Mammalia; Primates; Cercopithecidae.